Molecule: long non-coding RNA, 3018 nt
Organism: Ictalurus punctatus (channel catfish)
Lineage: Eukaryota; Metazoa; Chordata; Actinopteri; Siluriformes; Ictaluridae
Source: Ensembl
CCCAGACAUCAGUAAGGCAAGGAACCAUCUGAAAUCGGUUGCAGAAUGGCAGAAUUUGAAGAGAUUAUUAAAGCGGUUGAAGAUGGGAUAGAAGAAGCGGAAGAAGCAUCUGAGGGACUAUCAGGAGAAGCACGAGAGGAAAUUGAAGAAGUAAUAGCCGAAACCCGCACGGCGAUUGAAGAGCUUUCUACAACUCAGAAUAAACUCCAAGAGUUCCUUAAGUCCAUCGGAAAUUGUGUAGCUAAAGUGGCCAAGUUUACUGCUGAAACUGUAGCGGUUGGCGCCAUCCUGUGGGGGGUAAAUGUUGCUUUAAACAAGCUGCUUCCACAACAUGACCAAAAAGAAACCAAGACACGCAUGCGUAAUGUAAUAAAGGCCUUGAGUGACGUGAUCAACACUGAAGCCACCAUAAACAAGAAGGUACUGGAAUGGAUGGAGGUCCACAAGGACGAUACCAUCACUCUGGAUGGAUAUGAAGUGUCUUUGGAAGCCAUUCUGACAAAAUACAUUAAACCAUUAGUUGAGGCAUCCGAAAAAGCCGAAACCAUCGCUGAAUCCCUCCAAGAAAAGGUUGAUGGGAAAACUCAGUUUAAAUGUCCAAGCGCAGAUGUCAUGAGAAAAUUCAUGGAUGUGACCGAUGUGUACAUCAAGGCCUUCACCGAUCUCAUCGCGUUCAUUAUGAAAAAUGUAGACCAUGUUGUAGAGCUGCAGAGCUUUCCGGUAAAAGAGGGAGAUGUUAUUGACCUAGCAGCAAAGCUGAAUGCUGCCAAGGACUUACCUCUGUGGUAAAAUAGAUUAUGAUUUGAUAACAUUACUCAGAAAUGGCAGAACAAGUUGUGUGUGUUUUUCUAGUUUGGAUAAGUUUGGCUAAUUCAACACUUUUAUCUACUGAAUUUAUUGAAUAUAGCACGUGGAACAAGAUCAAAUCAAAUGAACAUUUUAAUGGCAAUGCUAUCUUGUUUUACUUUUAAUUCAUUCGGCUUAUUUUCUUUAAACGUAUUUGCAUUUUUAUAACAAUUAUAUUUUUAAAAUGAAUCAUUUCUGAUUAAGAUUCAUGUAUUUCCUAUAACUUACUCAUAUGAAAAUAUUUUUAUGCCAGUGAUGUCUUAAUCAGUUAACUCUUAGAUUUUGGAUGAGUUUCAUCACCAGACUUUCUAAACCAGUCUCAUUAUGAAUCAGUGAACGUUGGUCAAUGUACAUUUCCUGUUUCAAAAUAUUGUCAUCAAAAGAUCUGCAACAUGAAUCUCCAUUUUUUUUUCUCCACUUGUAUCUGCAUUCAUCAUCUUCAUUAAAAGAAGUUCAUAAACUAUUUUGUCUUCAUUGAAUGAAAUCUUUUAAAGUUCUACAUUAGUGAUAUUAGGGAUUUCAAAACACCAAAUAAAUGAAGGAAUUUUAAUGAAAGAAUGUGACAAUAAUACACAAUGUAAAACAAGGGUUAGAACUGCAAAAGAACCAGGAUAGCGAAAAACAAGAAACGCGAAACCAAAAAUGAGAACGACGAGCACCUUUAGGAAAACUUGGAACGCAAAUCAGUUAAAUAAAAUAAUAAACAAAAUCAAAAAUAAUAAUAAUCAAAACAAACCCACUCAUGGGAAGCAGCUCUCGCCAUAUUGGAAAACCACAGCACACACCGAGAGGUCAUUUGUGAUGAACAUUUCUGAAUCUCUGAAGAUACUAAGCUAGCUUAGAGUUAGUUUCUUCUUCAUUCAGUAAGUGGUGUGUAUAUCUCAGCGUUCUCCAUUGCUCGGUUUGUCCCUCAGCAUUGUCUCCUUUGAAUAUCUCACAUUUCCUCACUGUCUAGUCAUCUAUCAAUACUGCAGCCACAUUCCAUUAGCAUGGAUGAGCGAUUUUUGUGUCGUUAACGGACCCCUCUGGCCACGACUGGCCUCAUCUACUGUGCACAUUUCCUCCUCUAACACGGAUUCUUCCCACGUUACAAAUAAUUCAGCCAGGUCAUGUUUACACAUGAUUGAAUGCAGGAUAUGAGAGUGAGCCUGGCAAACAUUCAUUACCAUGUCCUAUAGUACAAAUUAGACUUCAUGGGAGCCAUCCAAUCCUCAGACCAGCUGUUUAUCUGCCACAGAGGAAAGACACAAUGGCCUCCUUUACCUAUGUAGCAGUUGGCCCACUGGGUGGAGGACAUUAUCACCAAGCUCCCAUCGUGACAUACCAGAACAUGAGGAGUAUCUGCACCCACGGUCUCAUCUCAACAUCUUAUGCUUCUGUGGAAUUCUGUGGUUACCGUUACCCCUCCCAUUUUUCUUCACAUUAUUGUUAUCUAUUACCCACCUGGCUCUCUAGGAAACCUCAGUGAAGAGCUGGACAUUCUCCUUAGUCUCUUUUCUACACCUUGCUGUGCUCCUCUCAUAGCGCCCUCUUCUGUUAACAUUUUCAAUGCUUCGUCUUUCUGAAUUCGUUAGUAAGUUUGGCGAGUGUUGUGUGUGAUGCGCUCGCAAUGUUUCCUGCGAAAGUCCAUCGCAUCCUUGUGACAGUUUCCCGAUCCAGCCACGAGAACGAUUUCAAGAUGUUCUUUUGUCAAAGUGACUGAAAAAAAAAAAAUAUUAUAAACUAAGUAUGAAAAAUUUUGGAAGACAUUUUGCUGAAAAGUAUCAAUUUCUCCUAUGCAUGGAGACUUUUGGGACACGCUGUAUAACCCAUUAACGUUGGCAUCAUCUUGAAGUGGUAUUCCGUAAAUAAAUUUUCUUAAAGAUAAAAAACCCCAUGUGACAGGAAAGACAAGUGCAUGCGAAUCAGCAUGAACGUGUAUUCUUCGUAAGGCCUCUUAAAUAAGACUUUUUAACCUGUAUAUCUUUGUAGGACACUGUAUCUAAAGAGUGCCUUUUCAAAUACAAAUUAUUUGAUGAUCAGUUGAUCAUUUAAUUUGACUCCUUGAAGUCAUACAAUUUUGUACAUGUCUAACAUCCUGGCUUCCUUUACAAAAAUACUUACUAUGAAAAACAUUUUUAUAAAAUGAUAUCAGAAAAGAAUUGUCUGAAAUAAAUAUAUAUAUAUAUAUAU